AGUGAACGCUGGCGGUAGGCCUAACACAUGCCAGUCGAACGGCAGCACAGUAAGAGCUUGCUCUUACGGGUGGCGAGUGGCGGACGGGUGAGGAAUACAUCGGAAUCUACUUUUUCGUGGGGGAUAACGUAGGGAAACUUACGCUAAUACCGCAUACGACCUACGGGUGAAAGCAGGGGAUCUUCGGACCUUGCGCGAUUGAAUGAGCCGAUGUCGGAUUAGCUAGUUGGCGGGGUAAAGGCCCACCAAGGCGACGAUCCGUAGCUGGUCUGAGAGGAUGAUCAGCCACACUGGAACUGAGACACGGUCCAGACUCCUACGGGAGGCAGCAGUGGGGAAUAUUCGACAAUGGGCGCAAGCCUGAUCCAGCCAUACCGCGUGGGUGAAGAAGGCCUUCGGGUUGUAAAGCCCUUUUGUUGGGAAAGAAAAGCAGCAGGUUAAUACCCCGCUGUUCUGACGGUACCCAAAGAAUAAGCACCGGCUAACUUCGUG
Molecule: ribosomal RNA, 492 nt
Filed under: uncultured bacterium
Lineage: Bacteria
Description: partial 16S ribosomal RNA
Rfam family: Bacterial small subunit ribosomal RNA
Source: RNAcentral